GCAUCAGUGGUCUAACGGUUAUGAUCCGGUCUUCCCAUAUUGCAGAAUGCAAAUUCUUCCAUGGCCGGGAAAGGGGUUCGACUCCCCUCUGAUGCA
RNAcentral lists this transfer RNA (96 nucleotides) under Lentinula raphanica. RNAcentral's name for it is "tRNA-Gly". It matches the Rfam family "tRNA". Rfam says of the family: Transfer RNA (tRNA) molecules are approximately 80 nucleotides in length. Their secondary structure includes four short double-helical elements and three loops (D, anti-codon, and T loops). Further hydrogen bonds mediate the characteristic L-shaped molecular structure. tRNAs have two regions of fundamental functional importance: the anti-codon, which is responsible for specific mRNA codon recognition, and the 3' end, to which the tRNAs corresponding amino acid is attached (by aminoacyl-tRNA synthetases). tRNAs cope with the degeneracy of the genetic code in two manners: having more than one tRNA (with a specific anti-codon) for a particular amino acid; and 'wobble' base-pairing, i.e. permitting non-standard base-pairing at the 3rd anti-codon position. Lineage: Eukaryota; Fungi; Basidiomycota; Agaricomycetes; Agaricales; Omphalotaceae. The record is from RNAcentral.